Molecule: ribosomal RNA, 1059 nt
Filed under: uncultured bacterium
Lineage: Bacteria
Description: bacterial SSU rRNA
Rfam family: Bacterial small subunit ribosomal RNA
Source: RNAcentral
CUCCUACGGGAGGCAGCAGUGGGGAAUUUUGGGCAAUGGGGGAAACCCUGACCGAGCAACGCCGCGUGAAGGAAGAAGUAUUUCGUUAUGUAAACUUCUGUCAUAGAGGAAGAACGGGGGAUAUAGGGAAUGAUAUCCAAGUGACGGCUCUCUAUAAGAAAGCCACGGCUAACUACGUGCCAGCAGCCGCGGUAAUACGUAUGGGGCCAAGCGUUAUCCGGAUUUACUGGGUGUAAAGGGAGCGUAGACGGAUGGACAAGUCUGAUGUGAAAGGCUGGGGCUCAACCCCGGGACUGCAUUGGAAACUGCCCAUCUUGAGUGCCGGAGAGGUAAGCGGAAUUCCUAGUGUAGCGGUGAAAUGCGUAGAUAUUAGGAGGAACACCAGUGGCGAAGGCGGCUUACUGGACGGUAACUGACGUUGAGGCUCGAAAGUGCGGGUAUCGAACAGGAUUAGAUACCCUGGUAGUCCGCACGGUAAACGAUGGAUGCCCGCUGUUGGUCUGAAUAGGUCAGCGGCCAAGCGAAAGCAUUAAGCAUCCCACCUGGGGAGUACGCCGGCAACGGUGAAACUCAAAGGAAUUGACGGGGGCCCGCACAAGCGAAGGAACAUGUGGUUUAAUUCGAUGAUACGCGAGGAACCUUACCCGGGCUUGAAUUGCAGAGGAAGGAUUUGGAGACAAUGACGCCCUUCGGGGCCUCUGUGAAGGUGCUGCAUGGUUGUCGUCAGCUCGUGCCGUGAGGUGUCGGCUUAAGUGCCAUAACGAGCGCAACCCCUCUCCUUAGUUGCCAUCAGGUUAAGCUGGGCACUCUGGGGACACUGCCACCGUAAGGUGUGAGGAAGGUGGGGAUGACGUCAAAUCAGCACGGCCCUUACGUCCGGGGCUACACACGUGUUACAAUGGCAGGUACAGAGAGACGGUCCCUUGCAAAAUGGAUCAAAUCCUUAAAGCCUGUCUCAGUUCGGACUGGGGUCUGCAACCCGACCCCACGAAGCUGGAUUCGCUAGUAAUCGCGCAUCAGCCAUGGCGCGGUGAAUACGUUCCCGGGCCUUGUACACAC